CAGGCAGUAUUGGUUACAUUCAGGUUACAUUCAGUAUGCAGCUCCUGUCUUGUAUUAUCUUCAUGAUUAUUAUUACACUGACCUUCUGCAUCUGUUUCCUGACUCCCUGCGCUACAGAAUACUGCCUCAGCAAAAGAUAAGGACAUCUCCCAGCCAGUCGAUGAACAAGGACACCUAAUCCGCCAACACCACAUCCACCACUGUCUCGACACCACCCAAGAGGAUUCACCUCCAACCAGCAGAGGGCCUUCUACCACAAGCCGUCCCAGCAAGCCAGUCCCCCAGACUACCCAGCAGGCCGCUCAGGUCAGUGAUUCCAUGGCUUCCUACUACAGUGCUCCCUCUAUUUCGCUCAUCAGAUGGCAGCCCCCACCACCGCGACGUCCAAGGUUGCCACGGUCAUUUCCCUACUGACCAGGCGGGCGCUGGAGUGGACUACGGCUGCCUGGGAGAGAGGAGAGGAAGAUCUGGGUUCUUACGAGGGGUUCAUAGCUAUAUUCAGGGUGUUUUUUGACCAUCCACCAGAGGGCAGAGCGGAAGGUGAGAAACCAUUCCAACUCCGGCAGGGUGCCCAGACCGCUGCAGAGUACACCCUCACCUUCCGGACCGUGGCAGCCUCCAACGGAUGGAAUGAAUAGGGUGUACUCCACACCCUAUUCUGAAGAGGACUGCACGAGGAGGUCCAGACAUAGUUGGCGUGAGACACCUGGGGCUGUGUCCCUAUUGAGACCAGGAGGGGCACUGGCUCCAGCAGUGUCCGGUGCGUCCCAACCCGGAGUCCACUGGGACAGAGGGACUUCCCCGUGAUCAUUCAUCUCCCAGGGUCGGUGUGAGUGUUCCUUCAUCAUCAUUUUACACCAUACCCUUCAUGGUUUCCAUUUCACUGGCUGGCUGUCUCUCAGGUGUUGUCUCUAAAGCUCUAGUGGACUCUGGUGUCGCUGGGAAUUUUAUCAACCAGGCCCUCAUCUCCUUCCUGAACAUCACCGCGUACCUGCUCUCCUCUCCUUUUCCGGCCCAAGCCCUUGAUAAACAACCAUUGGAAUCCGGCACUAUCACGCACAUCACAGCACCACUCACCCUUACCGUGGGACACUUGCACCAAGAAAGCCUUCCAUUCCUCAUCCUCGGCCUUCCGUGGCUCCAACGUCAUGACCCCACCAUCUCCUGGUCGAGGAUGAAAAUCACUGCCUGGGCACCUGAAUGUCCCUUACCUUGCGGUUCCACAUCGAUUGAGAGCCAUGUGAGUGACCUCCAGCCCAUCAAUCUGUUCUCCCAUAUUGUUGGCCCUGUGUUUUGGGACAUAGAUGUGGACAUCCACCAGGCUCUGGAGAGUGAACCUGCGCCUGCUACCUGCCCUCCUGAGCACAUCUACGUCCCCACGGAGAGGAAUCUACAGGACGAAGCAGGUCUGGCUGGAAACAUUGAGGACUCAUACAAGAAACUAAACCAAGGGACCUGAAGAAUUGUCAAUACUGUGGACAGAGAAGAAUUUAUGCAGCAACAUUUGGCUUCAAUUGAAUGACGAGAUUUAUACGUUUACAUGUUGAAAUGGUAUGUUUUAGUUUGUGUUUUUUGUGUGGGACAUUUAGACACCACUUUUUGACAGAUAAUGAAUGCAAUGUACAUCCUCACCAGACAUUCCUGCCGGAUCAAGCCACGCUCCCUCCCUAUGUAGCUAAAUGGUCUCUUUCCAAAUUAACUCCACAGGAAGAUGGUGUCACUGUAGAUAUCUAAAAUACUCUAUUGUUUGCUUACGUCUGAGGUGGUAAAGGUGCUCAUAUCACUGAAAGUGUUACAUUGAAAUUCAUUGCUGAGAAUGUCCAAAUCCAACAGAGUAUAUUAAUUUAAUUUCACCGUUGCUUUCACUGUAAAUGUCCAUUAAUAUGUUAUUAACACUUUUAUUUGCAUUUAUUUGCACCAAAGAAAACAAUUGCUAGACAACAGUACAGAUAUCUUUUUUUUCUUAAACAAUGUGCAGGUGUGUUUGGAAGCCCAAGGGCUUACAUGAAAAACACGCCACAAAAAAAACCAAUAUAUAAUACAUCAGUACAAAAUAAAAAAAGGUUUGUUAAAACAUAACGAAAUUUACUAAUUAUACAUGUAUAAAUGAAUUGAACUGUAAUAUUUGUUUUGUUUAAAUGUGCGUGCCUGUGAGUGCUAGGCUAUAUGGAGAAGAUUACUGAGGAGUUUGGUUCAUCAGGCUGACCCCCAGUCUUCACUUGUAGUUAUUGAGGGAUAAUGAUGUUUUGGCAAUGUGAAGAUAAGAAUUCCAGAGUAUGGUACCUCUAUAUCUGAUAGUCAGUUCUCUAUGUGAGGUUCGGCAGUUGGGAGGGUGAAGGUUAUCACAGUGUCUUGUAUUAUCUACACUGAAAAACCCAACAAGUUCUGUGAACUCAUUUUUUUGGGGGGGAAAACGAUCACCUAAAAGAAACAUCUGUUAAACUCAAAAGUUAAAAGUAAGGUCACACCUAAUUAUUUUUGAAUUACUUGUAGUUAACCUAAUGGUUUCAUGCAAACUCUUUUUAACUGUACUUAACUUUAAAAGAUUGUUUAAUUAAUUGAAAACAUUCAAUUGCUGCAUAUUUAAUUGCUAUGCUUUCUCUGUAGCG
Oncorhynchus tshawytscha (Chinook salmon) is the source of this 2609-nucleotide long non-coding RNA. NCBI's taxonomy places the organism in Eukaryota, Metazoa, Chordata, Actinopteri, Salmoniformes, Salmonidae. The record is from Ensembl.